AUGAGUUGCGGGAGAUCUGAAAACACUACCAGAAAAUGCAGGACGCGUUCAACACCUGGUGAAACGAUGUAUCUACAUACUGCAGAUGCUAAAAAGAUCACCCACUACCAAGCUAAUCUACCAACAACAAUGGAUCGCGAUAUCGGCGCCUACCCUGUGAAGCACCACUUUCCGUCUCCUAUAGUUUCUUGGAUAGAAGACCUUUCUAGCUUUGGCGAUGUUCCUUUUAGUCAUGAUACUGAAUACGUGGAUGAUCAAUCAACACCUUCAUUUGGGCAGUCUUUUGCAUCUAGCAAUUUGCAUGACAUGCAAAUAUCAGUGAGAUUGACAGACGAAUUCAUGGAACUUGCAAAGGAGAAUACAAGCAAUAAUCUAGAGGCCUGUGGAAUUCUUGGUGCUUCAUUUAGGGAUGGAACUUAUUAUGUGACAACAUUGAUCAUUCCAAAGCAAGAAGGAACUGCUCACUCAUGUCAAGCUUCUAACGAGGAGGAGAUACACGCCGUAUUAUCAGAGCAGUCACUUUACCCUGCAGGGUGGAUACAUACUCACCCUUCACAAACAUGCUUUCUAUCGUCGAUCGAUUUGCACACUCAAUUCUCUUAUCAGGUCAUGCUACCAGAAGCUGUUGCCAUUGUUGCUGCUCCCACCGAUCCUACUAGGAGCUAUGGUAUAUUCAGGUUGACAGAUCCAGGAGGCAUGGAUGUGCUCAGGGAGUGCAGUGAGAGUGGGUUCCAUACUCACCGAGAGACGACGGAUGGCGGUCCAAUAUAUGAAACCUGCACCAACGUGCAUUUCAAACCUAAUUUGCGGUUUGAGAUUGUCGAUCUGCGUUCUGGUGCGUGA
Molecule: ribosomal RNA, 843 nt
Filed under: Triticum aestivum (bread wheat)
Lineage: Eukaryota; Viridiplantae; Streptophyta; Magnoliopsida; Poales; Poaceae
Description: partial small subunit ribosomal RNA
Source: RNAcentral